RNAcentral lists this ribosomal RNA (301 nucleotides) under uncultured bacterium. RNAcentral's name for it is "partial 16S ribosomal RNA". It matches the Rfam family "Bacterial small subunit ribosomal RNA", at positions 509 to 809 of the family's 1533-position model. The record is from RNAcentral.
CAGCAGCCGCGGUAAUACGAAGGUCCCAAGCGUUGUUCGGAAUCACUGGGCGUAAAGGGAGCGUAGGCGGCGUGGUAAGUCAGAUGUGAAAUCCCGGGGCUCAACCCCGGAACUGCAUCCGAUACUGUCAUGCUUGAGGGUUGGAGAGGUAGCUGGAAUUCUCGGUGUAGCAGUGAAAUGCGUGGAUAUCGAGAGGAACACUCGUGGCGAAGGCGAGCUACUGGACAACAUCUGACGCUGAGGCUCGAAGGCUAGGGUAGCGAAAGGGAUUAGAUACCCCAGUAGUCCCUGUCUCUUAUAU